Molecule: long non-coding RNA, 490 nt
Organism: Gossypium arboreum
Lineage: Eukaryota; Viridiplantae; Streptophyta; Magnoliopsida; Malvales; Malvaceae
Exons: 2
Source: RefSeq, a predicted model, not a curated record
UUAUUUUUUAUUUCUAGUGUUUUUCAAAAAAGAAGCAGAAUGCUUCUUCUUCCUUGCUCCCUCUCCAUUUUUGCUAGGAGUUCAACCUAGCUUGCGUCACCCUGGAAGAUCAUCGGUGCCACGCACCUCUACCCCAUCGCCGGUUCACGGAUCAAGACUGGGUGUUAUUGUGGAUAUCUUGGAAGCACAAGGCAUGACAAAGAGGGACUGCUGGUAGCGCACGUCUCGGAGGUGCAGUGGAUGGUGGAGGCAUGUGGGGAUGGGGUAUUUGGGGUGAAUUUUGUUUUGGUUUUGGGCUGUUUUGGGUUAUAGGAUUGGGCUAGUGGUUAAUGGGUUUGAUUAGUGGGCUAGGCAAAGAAAAUUGGUCCAACACUACUGAGACUUCAAUUCAAAUAAAACAUUAAUUGAUAUAUAACACUUGGUUAUUUUCAUCAAGUUAGUAAAUGUAUUUGAAAAUUAACUUAUAAUAAAGUGAAUUACCUUUUUUGAA